This 468-nucleotide ribosomal RNA is filed under the name uncultured bacterium. Its description in RNAcentral is "bacterial SSU rRNA". It matches the Rfam family "Bacterial small subunit ribosomal RNA", at positions 29 to 506 of the family's 1533-position model. The record is from RNAcentral.
ACGAACGCUGGCGGCGUGCCUAACACAUGCAAGUCGAACGAGGUCCAUGUAGUGGCAACACUGCGGAAGACCUAGUGGCGAACGGGUGAGUAACACGUGAGGAACUUGCCCCGGAGACCGGGAUAACCCUCCGAAAGGAGAGCUAAUACCGGAUGUGCUCACUGAGUCGCAUGGCUCGGUGAGGAAAUGGAUUCCGCUCCGGGAGAGUCUCGCGGCCUAUCAGCUUGUUGGCGGGGUAACGGCCCACCAAGGCAUCGACGGGUAGCUGGUCUGAGAGGACGAUCAGCCACACUGGGACUGAGACACGGCCCAGACUCCUACGGGAGGCAGCAGUGGGGAAUCUUGCGCAAUGGGCGAAAGCCUGACGCAGCAACGCCGCGUGCGGGAUGACGGCCCUCGGGUUGUAAACCGCUUUCAGUGGGGACGAAACAAGACGGUACCCACAGAAGAAGCCCCGGCCAACUACGU